This 253-nucleotide ribosomal RNA is filed under the name uncultured bacterium. RNAcentral describes it as "partial 16S ribosomal RNA". It matches the Rfam family "Bacterial small subunit ribosomal RNA", at positions 524 to 776 of the family's 1533-position model. The record is from RNAcentral.
UACGGAGGAUGCAAGCGUUAUCCGGAAUGAUUGGGCGUAAAGCGUCCGCAGGUGGCUGUGUAAGUCUGCUGUUAAAGAGUGAGGCUCAACCUCAUAAAAGCAGUGGAAACUACACGGCUAGAGUGCGUUCGGGGCAGAGGGAAUUCCUGGUGUAGCGGUGAAAUGCGUAGAUAUCAGGAAGAACACCGGUGGCGAAAGCGCUCUGCUAGGCCGCAACUGACACUGAAAAGCGAAAGCCAGGGGAGCAAACGGG